CCUGACUCAGCCGCAGACAUUAGUGCUAGGAAGAUGGCGCACCCGGCAAUGUUUCCUAGAAGGGGUAGCAGCAGUAGCAGCGGCAGCAGCUGCGUUACUGCUCCCACUGCACCAGGUACCGGCGUUGGGAGCGCUGCCCUCUCUGCCGAGGAUUAUCAGCCACCUUUGCUGGUCCAGCCGCCGCCUCUGUCUCCUGCAGCAUCUUCAUCAGCGGGUCCACAGCCGACACCCCCUCCUCCACAAAGCCUGAACCUCCUCUCGCAGUCUCAGCUCCAGCCACAGCCUCUUGCACAGACCGGAGCUCAAAUGAAAAAGAAAAGUGGCUUCCAAAUCACCAGUGUGACCCCUGCUCAAAUAUCAGCUAGUAUGAGCUCUAAUAACAGCAUAGCUGAGGAUACAGAGAGCUACGAUGACCUGGAUGAGUCCCACACUGAAGAUCUGUCAUCUUCGGAAAUCUUGGAUGUUUCUUUAUCCAGGGCCACUGACUUGGGAGAACCUGAGAGGAGCUCUUCUGAAGAGACUUUAAAUAACUUCCAAGAGGCAGAGACUCCUGGGGCUGUUUCUCCAAACCAGCCUCAUCUUCCUCAGCAGCAUGCUCCUCUGCCUCAUCACCCACAGCAGAGUGUUGUGAUCAAUGGAAGUGUUCACCCCCAUCAUGUUCAUCAUCACCACCAUCUUCACCACCACCAUCAUGGACACCACCAUCCGUCACAUCCUGGGGUGGGCAGUGCCCCAGUUUCCGGAGGACCACCGCCCAGUCCAUCAUUUAGAAAACUGUCAACAACUGGAAGCUCUGACAAUGUUAUAUCAACUGCACCAGUUUCUGCUGCAUCAUCCACUGGUUCUCCGGCAUCUGUUGUGUCUAAUAUCCGCACUACAAGUACUCCUGGCAAUUUAGGUGUAAGUCCUGCUACUGGAACUAGUACCUUAAAUAAUAUGGGUAGUGGUAGUUCUAGUGUGGCAGGUGGUGUGAUUGGUACUAUAAACUUGAGCAACAUCACGAGUACUGCUAAUGUAAAUGCUUUGUCUGGAACUGGCAGCAAUGUUAAUGUGAAUAUCUUGAGUGGUGUUGGCAAUGGUACGAGUGCUUCCUCUAGUGUCAUUAACAAUGUUACUAAUCCAACUGCAGGAAUGGCAGUUGGAUCAAGCCAGCAGCAGCCUGCAUCUGGCACGUCAAGGUUUAGGGUUGUAAAAUUAGAUUCUAGUUCUGAACCUUUCAAAAAAGGUAGAUGGACAUGCACUGAAUUCUAUGAUAAAGAAAACACCGUUGCAGUUUCCGAAGGAGUAGCAGUAAACAAAGCAGUAGAGACAAUAAAACAAAACCCGCUUGAAGUGACUUCUGAAAGGGAGAGCACCAGUGGGAGUUCUGUUAGCAGCAAUGUAAGCACACUGAGUCACUAUACAGAAAGUGUGGGAAGUGGAGAAAUGGGAGCACCUCCUGUGGUACAGCAGCAAGCAUUUCAAGGUGUGGGUCCACAGCAGAUGGAUUUUAGCAGUGCUGCUCCUCCGGCAAUUCCAGCAUCAAGUAUACCACAGAGUGUUUCUCAAUCACAGCUUGCACAAGUCCAGCUGCAUUCUCAAGAAGUAAACUAUCCACAGCAGAAGCCAGGGGUCCAGCCUCCUGCACAGGCCAGUCUAACCACUGUUACUGGGGUUCAGCCAGCCCCAGUUAAUAUACUAGGUGUAUCCCCAUCUAUGGGCCACCAGCAGCCUGGCAUUCAAAGUAUGGCUCAACAGCAGCUACCAUAUUCUCAGCCAGCGGCGCCUGUGCAGACUUUGCCGGUUGUGCAGCAGCAGCAGUUGCAGUAUGGACAACAGCAGCAGCAGCAGCAGCAACAGACAGUUCCUACACAGAUGGCCACAGGUCAUGUUAAGUCGAUGAACCAAAACUCCGUGACAGGGGCUGUGCCAGACUACAUUCAGCAUCAGCAGAUCCUUCAGACUUCAGCCCCUGCCAUGCAGCCUAGUUCUGCAGGAGUAGGAGCAGGGCAACCGGUUCCUGUUGCCCAGGCACAGGGCAUGCAGCCUUCAGUACAAGCACAUCCAGCCGCUGCCCCAGCUCAGCCUGUUGCACAUGCUCCAGCAGCAAUACCAGGUGUAGGUACCAGUGGUCAAAUGCUGAAUGUUGGGCAGCAAGGGAGUGUAGCUGCUGUGGUGCAACCACCAUCUGCUGCAAACCAAAUUCCACCUCCAGUUAUGCCGUCAACGGCUGCUCCUCCAUCUUCACAAGUAGUGCAGCCUGUGCAGACAGGAAUAAUGCAGCAGGGAUUACAGGCUAGCGCUUCAGGCCUUCCUCAGCAAAUGGUCAUUGCUCAGCAAAGCACUUUGUUACCUGUACAGCCACAGGCACAAGGAGUGGAAUCUGUUGUCCAAGGGAUGACUGGCCAGCAGCUGCCUGCAGUUAGCCCUAUACCUUCUGCUAGUACUGUUCCUGCACCAACUCAAGCUGGUUCAGCUGUGCCUCCUGGCAUACCUUCUGCUUCUAUAGGUUUGGGACAGCCACAGAACAUAACACAAGCUUCGGCUGUGCAGAAUGGGAAUUUGUCUCAAAGUGUUAGUCAGCCUCCCUUGAUAUCAACAAGUAUAGGUAUGCCAGUGGCACAGAGUGUGCCACAGCAGAUGCCGCUAAGCUCUACCCAGUUCCCUGCACAGUCACUAGUUCAGUCCGUUGUAAGCCAAACUGAAGAUGGCAGGCGCCCUACAGAGCCUUCCUUGGUGGGUUUACCUCAAGCUGCCAGUGGUGAGAGUGGUGUUGGAGUGUCGGCCGUUUCGGAUGGCGGUAGCAGCAACGUGCCAUCCUCUGCUUCCCUCUUUCCACUGAAGGUGCUGCCAUUGACGACACCUCUGGUAGAUGGUGAGGAUGAAAGUUCAACUGAAUGCUGGUGCAUAGAUCCUGCAGUGGGUUUGCAGCCUGCACAUGUUUCGAGAGGUGUGUGCUCUAAAGGAGAGGAUGAAGAAACCCCAUCAAAAUUGCCCCUAAAUGAAUUGAGUGAAAUUGCAUAAUGAGGAACAUACCUUUUUGGUUAACUACUGGAUCAUACUCUAACUGGUGUCUUCAGAGCAAUGAAGGCAAAAUGAUAGUGCCUCAUAUGAUGCAUACACCUCAACAGCUACCCUACAUGCAAACACUGGCCACUGCUGCUGUUGUGCAUAAGCUGCCCACAAAAGUAAAGAACCAGUGUGAGAGUUUGAAGAAAGAAUCCACUCAGAGGACUGAGUCUCAAGCAAAAGCUCCAGGUUGCAGACUCAGAAAGAAACUUCCUUUGGGGAAGGAUCUGCUUCCAGGAUUUGCUCGUCUCUUUUUCCUUGGGCAAACAGAGUUCUUGAAGCAAACAACAGGGUUGCAGGACACCUUCUAACCUUUAUACUGCAUCACAAGCCUUCAGCAGAAGAUCUUGAGAGCCAUUUAUGUUGCUGGAAGAUGACUGGGUUUGGAUCUUGGCCUUCCUUAAGCAGGAUCUUCUGACAAAAAUGGGAUUGGGAAAGAAAUGACUCCUUUUUCCAUCACACAGAGCCGCCCUAGAAAUGGAGGCCUAGGCAGAAAAUUACUUCCAAUGCAUCAUUCCUUAAGAGAUUUGUUUGCCCUUCCACGGUCCUUCUGUUACCAUGUCAUAAAGAUGUCUUUUAUAAAACCUAAACCUGGCAUCUUCCUAUCUGAAGAUCCAGUCAAUAAAUCCAAGUUUAAGAGUGUACAGGUCUAAUGCGGUCAGAGCAUGCUGUCUGCUACAUAGGAGAUGCGCUAUGGAUCUGUGAAACAGGGUUCUCCUGUGGUUCAGUGUUGUGUCUGUAAAGCCUUUUCUGCUUAUAGUCCAUUUAAAUUAUUAUAAAAAAUAAAAAGCUUCUUGUGAAAAUGGUAUUUAAUUAGGCCUCAAACUCUCCAAGUUUACUUAAAAACAAGUGAGCCAAAAAUGACAUAAUGGGCAAUAUGGGAAGUACUGCAUCUUCUGAGGUUUCCUGUGGGUUUGUGUCAAGAGAAGGUAUGUUGAAAGUGUUGAGAGCUGUGAAAGAGGGAAAAACUUAGAUUUUGCUUUAAGAGUGAAAAGUUAUUUGUUAGAAAGCAGAAAGCUUUUAAUUUCCCUCCUCUAAGGGAUUCUGUACUCAAACGGUCUUGCAAGAUCUUAAAUAAAAACCUUAUGUUUGGCAGUAGUGAGCAACACACACACACAUGCCUGUGUACUUUUUGCUCUUUUUGCCAUAGGAAAUUAGUUUUGAAGAAUAGGAUUGACUUCUAAUGUUCAGAUUAGGAAAGGGGAAAGCUUUGUUCUGAAGCUGAGUGUGGGAAGACAUGGCAGGAGGUUGACCUGAGCCCACUGGUAGUAGGUAAAGUGCACUUUUGUUUUCGUGUUUUCUGCUUCUGGCAGUUGGAGUAAACUAGUCAGAUGCUUGUGCUUGAAUCCAAUUAAUUUCCUAAAUCAGUUACCACAAAACAUUGUUUUUUAACUAAUGCCUAGAUCUCUCAUUAAAUGCACCAGCCUAUUUAAAUUGUUGAGCAGUCUUAACAUAGCCCUGAGGCUACUGCUUCAUGGCAGUUGUGACUUCUUACUGUGCGGGAAUGCAUUGCAGUCUUAGUACAUUCUAAAAAUAAUUGUUCAGAUGGUGCUGUUUAAGUACAUACUUAUGUAGUGAGCCAUUUUCACUGGACUUUUUAAAAUUUGGGGUCUGUUGGAUGGCUUUUUAAUACCCUAUUUUUAUUCCCUGUGAAUAUCCAACUUCUUUGUCUUGAUGCUUCUGUGGUUAUCGAGUAAAAUGCUAAAUUUAUAACCUGGUAUUUUUAGAAAACUGACGGAUGUAUGUGUUAAACUAUGCAACCACAGUAACACUUGUGAACUUUGAAGUUUAAAGAGAAAUCACUUUAAUGUAUCAAAUUCAAUACUUUUUUUUAGUAUGUAGAAACAUGUUUGUGAUGACCUUAAAACUGAGUAGUUGUUACAGGUAUAGGCAUGGAUUGUGUGCUGAACAUGAGUAACCUAGAAGUUAGAAGCUGGAGAUACGCGAGUCUCGGAAAUAAAUACUGCUGUCUGUGGGAGAGAUCUGUGCCAGCAGUGCUUUUAGUUGAAAAUACCUGUUUUUCUAAUUUCUCCCCUAUUGAAAGUCUGGUAUCUUUUUUUGCCUUCCUUAAAAGGUGUACUUGCCUCAGCCAGAGCUGUUGAUCAUUUUGUGCUGUAGAAUAAGGUAAUUUAAGACCAACAAAUACUUAAUAGGAGCACUGAGAACUGUUUCUAAUGUUAUUGUCUCAGUUGCUAAAAUGACUUUAACCCCCACAUCACAAUAAGGAAAAGAACCCCAAACAAGCCAGAAAGCUUGUUGAUGUUCUACAGUCAGUAUUUUGAUACUUCUUGUCUAUUACCAUUGUGUUAGUGUGUUACUGUCAUGCUCGUAGUUCUGCAGCUGGAAUCCUGGGUUCUUGAUACGUCUUUAGAGCAAUAGCUCCUGCCUUUGUGUUAUUAAAAAAUAAAGAUAUCUGAAACCA
Molecule: RNA transcript, 5470 nt
Organism: Pezoporus occidentalis (night parrot)
Lineage: Eukaryota; Metazoa; Chordata; Aves; Psittaciformes; Psittacidae
Gene: TSC22D1
Gene name: TSC22 domain family member 1
Exons: 5
Source: RefSeq, a predicted model, not a curated record